This 483-nucleotide ribosomal RNA is filed under the name uncultured bacterium. RNAcentral's name for it is "partial 16S ribosomal RNA". It matches the Rfam family "Bacterial small subunit ribosomal RNA", at positions 30 to 507 of the family's 1533-position model. The record is from RNAcentral.
UUGCACGCUGGCGGCAGGCCUCACCCAUGCAAGUCGAGCGGAUGAAGGGAGCUUGCUCCUGGAUUCAGCGGCGGACGGGUGAGUAAUGCCUAGGAAUCUGCCUGGUAGUGGGGGAUAACGUCCGGAAACGGGCGCUAAUACCGCAUACGUCCUGAGGGAGAAAGUGGGGGAUCUUCGGACCUCACGCUAUCAGAUGAGCCUAGGUCGGAUUAGCUAGUUGGUGGGGUAAAGGCCUACCAAGGCGACGAUCCGUAACUGGUCUGAGAGGAUGAUCAGUCACACUGGAACUGAGACACGGUCCAGACUCCUACGGGAGGCAGCAGUGGGGAAUAUUGGACAAUGGGCGAAAGCCUGAUCCAGCCAUGCCGCGUGUGUGAAGAAGGUCUUCGGAUUGUAAAGCACUUUAAGUUGGGAGGAAGGGCAGUAAGCUAAUACCUUGCUGUUUUGACGUUACCAACAGAAUAAGCACCGGCUAACUUCGUG